AGCAGCCGCGGUAAUUCCAGCUCCAAUAGCGUAUAUUAAAGUUGUUGCAGUUAAAAAGCUCGUAGUUGAACUUCGGGGUUUACCCAUUGGUCAGGCUUAAUUGUCUGUACUGGUGAGAUAAAUCUCUACCUUCUGAGGAACUUUCAUGUCAUUAAUUUGGUGUGAUUGGAAAUCAGGACUGUUACUUUGAAAAAAUUAGAGUGUUUAAAGCAGGCUAACGUCUGAAUACAUUAGCAUGGAAUAAUGAAAUAGGACGGCUUGAUUCUAUUUCGUUGGUUUCUAGGAUCACCGUAAUGAUUAAUAGGGAUAGUUGGGGGCAUUAGUAUUCAAUUGUCAGAGGUGAAAUUCUUGGAUUUAUUGAAGACUAACUACUGCGAAAGCAUUUGCCAAGGAUGUUUUCAUUAAUCAAGAACGAAAGUUAGGGGAUCGAAGACGAUCAGAUACCGUCGUAGUCUUAACCAUAAACUAUGCCGACUAGGGAUCGGACGAAGUUAAUUUUAUAAUGACGCGUUCGGCACCUUACG
This 524-nucleotide unclassified non-coding RNA is filed under the name uncultured Glomeromycotina. RNAcentral describes it as "SSU rRNA". It matches the Rfam family "Eukaryotic small subunit ribosomal RNA", at positions 569 to 1092 of the family's 1831-position model. Lineage: Eukaryota; Fungi; Glomeromycota. The record is from RNAcentral.